RNAcentral lists this transfer RNA (72 nucleotides) under Brassica oleracea var. oleracea. It matches the Rfam family "tRNA". From Rfam's summary of the family: Transfer RNA (tRNA) molecules are approximately 80 nucleotides in length. Their secondary structure includes four short double-helical elements and three loops (D, anti-codon, and T loops). Lineage: Eukaryota; Viridiplantae; Streptophyta; Magnoliopsida; Brassicales; Brassicaceae. The record is from Rfam by way of RNAcentral.
UCCGACGUAGUCUAGCUGGUUAGGAUACUUGGCUCUCACCCGAGAGACCCGGGUUCGAGUGCCGUGACGGAG